This 279-nucleotide long non-coding RNA is filed under the name Setaria viridis. RNAcentral describes it as "long non-coding RNA (SVIR_LNC002691)". Lineage: Eukaryota; Viridiplantae; Streptophyta; Magnoliopsida; Poales; Poaceae. The record is from RNAcentral.
UGUGUUUCAAGCUAAACAUUGUGUUAUAUUGCUUUUGACUGAUGUGUUUUUUUAUUUUUAUCUUGGAUUUUUUUUUUGCUGUUUUUCUUGAUCAGUUGUGACUGCUGGCCAUGUUGCUAAAAUAGUGCCACCCGAUAACUUAAGUUUAAUUCUUGACCAGAAUAACAAGAAAAUUUGUUGGUCAGUUCUCGGCUUACCUUACAUUAAUGGUUGGCUGCUCAAAGCUCAUAGAUCAUUUCACCUUGUUAGUUCAUGUCUCAAUCAGGCACCCCAUCUUUG